GACGAACGCUGGCGGCGUGCUUAACACAUGCAAGUCGAACGGAAAGGCCCUGCUUUUGUGGGGUGCUCGAGUGGCGAACGGGUGAGUAACACGUGAGUAACCUGCCCUUGACUUUGUGAUAACUUCAGGAAACGGGGGCUAAUACCGGAUAGGAGCUCCUGUUGCACGGGGGGGGGUGGAAAGUGUCGGCGGUUGGGGAUGGACUCGCGGCUGAUGAGCUUGUUGGUGGGGUAGUGGCUUACCAAGGCUUUGACGGGUAGCCGGCCUGAGAGGGUGACCGGCCACAUUGGGACUGAGAUACGGCCCAGACUCCUACGGGAGGCAGCAGUGGGGAAUAUUGCACAGUGGGCGGAAGCCUGAUGCAGCAACGCCGCGUGCGGGAUGACGGCCUUCGGGUUGUAAACCGCUUUCGCCUGUGACGAAGCGUGAGUGACGGUAAUGGGUAAAGAAGCACCGGCUAACUACGUG
This 468-nucleotide ribosomal RNA is filed under the name uncultured bacterium. RNAcentral describes it as "partial 16S ribosomal RNA". It matches the Rfam family "Bacterial small subunit ribosomal RNA", at positions 28 to 507 of the family's 1533-position model. The record is from RNAcentral.